RNAcentral lists this ribosomal RNA (402 nucleotides) under uncultured bacterium. RNAcentral describes it as "bacterial SSU rRNA". It matches the Rfam family "Bacterial small subunit ribosomal RNA", at positions 356 to 773 of the family's 1533-position model. The record is from RNAcentral.
GGGGGAUAUUGCACAAUGGAGGAAACUCUGAUGCAGCAACGCCGCGUGAGGGAAGAAGGUCUUCGGAUUGUAAACCUCUGUCUUCGGGGACGAAACAAAUGACGGUACUCGAGGAGGAAGCCACGGCUAACUACGUGCCAGCAGCCGCGGUAAUGCGUAGGUGGCAAGCGUUGUCCGGAAUUACUGGGUGUAAAGGGAGCGCAGGCGGAACUGCAAGUUGGGUGUUUAAUCUACGGGCUCAACCCGUAUCAGCAUUCAAAACUGUGGUUCUUGAGUAAUGCAGAGGUAGGCGGAAUUCCCGGUGUAGCGGUGGAAUGCGUAGAUAUCGGGAGGAACACCAGUGGCGAAGGCGGCCUACUGGGCAUCAACUGACGCUGAGGCUCGAAAGCAUGGGUAGCAAAC